GGGGGGAGUGAAAGGGAGUGGCAGUGAGCUGUCCAGCAACAUAAAGAUGGAAUGUACCUUGCCCUGACAACCUCAAGCUACAAGCUUGUUGCUCGGUUUGACUGAGCGGUUUCACAACCUCCAAUGACGGAAAACUAUAAGAAAUAUUUAAUAAAGAAUGGUGAAAGUAUUUAUCAUCUUUGCUGGAAACACUCUGAACACUCAUGCAAAGUUUUGGCAGCGCCUGGUCAGAAGUAACGAUGCGGAGGAAGUGGCCAACGUUAGAGACUGUGAUGUGACCCUCACAUUCUGUCCAAUCGUCUCACGAGUUGGAACUGAUGUAGAGGCAGCCGUCCAGCUGAUCCCAACAACUAGACCUGGAGUCCUGGUAUUACUGCACCCAACCUUUAACCCAGAGGAAAUAGUCCCAGACGCCAACAGAUUUGUAACCAGUGCUAAAAUCCUGACUGUCAACUGCUUGUUCCACGAGGGCACCCUACUGGACAGCCAUUGCAAUGACGAAGCCUUUGAAAGCGUUUCCAGUUACUUAAGGAAAAUUGCCCCACAUACUAGCUAUGAACUUCCUUCUCCACCUCAUAAUCGAAACCAUGGUUACAACUCCAUGCACAUGGUGGGGAUAACUGUCACACUAUUGGGUUUAAUCUUUAUUAUUUAUCUUUAUCUUAUGCCAUCGCUCCAAGACAAGCCAAUGGCCAGAGGUGGAAAUUCCACCUCCUCUUCACAUCUGUCAACCUAAAAUUUAAAAUGACAUGUAGUUGUUUAUGAACAAAAAUAAAUGAUCAGUCAAACCAAGAAAACAUUUUCAUACUCUUGAAUCAUCCUCAAAUAUACCAACUUUAACAAAACAUACAUGAUUGCACUGUCUACAAGAUUGUGUUUAAAAAACAAUAUACUUAUACCAUGUCAUGACAUGUCAUAUCACACCCCGUGAGCAGAAUUUGUUAAUGGUAAACUCUAGCAGAUUUGACCAGCUAUAAUAUGGUAGGUCUUCUAUCUCAGAAUUGUCUGGAAUUUCCACACACUUCGACAUAAAAUAGGCCUUAUUCAAUUCAGAGUUUGUAACUGAAGCUUCUCUUUCACACACUGUUUUUCAAAAGUUGGAAUAAUGCUUACUGGUGUGCAAUCAUGUCUCUUUUGCACUAUAAUAACUUCUGUUCUGCUGUAUCAUGUUUAAUUUGGAACACAUUUAGAAAGUUUAAGGAUUUAAAAUGAGACCUCAGCAAUUGUGAUGUUAACAUGUGGCAUAAAGAAAGUGAUGAAAUUAAAGACCUAUUAUGGGAGAAUUGGUAUUUUUUGCUAUUGAGCUCCCUCUAAAGAUGGAGAGUGUAGCUUACUUUUCAUGGAAAGUGUGUCUGCUUCUCAGAUGGAAGCUGGAAGAUUAUUCCACAGGAGAGGGUCUCGAUAGCAGAAGGCUCUGCCUCCUAUUGUGCUUUUUGACUUUCUUGGAAUUACAGAUCUGCACUCUGGGAACGAAGUGUUUUUGGUGUUAGAAGGAGUACUUUGAAAUCAAUUAUUCUUUUGACAGAGAGGCCAGUACAGGUGAGAUGUUCAAUAUAUUUUUUAGCUCUAGUAAGUGUGCGAGCAGAAACAUUCAGUAUGAGUUGGAGGCUCUUUAUUGAGUUGUUGCUAUGUCCAGACAGGAGAGGAUUGUUAGUUUAGUUUUUCGGCAUCUUGGAGGGAUAGGACUUUUCUAAUUUUGGCAAUAUUGCGUAGAUGAAAAAAUAGUGUCUGAGUUCUGUUUUCUGUGUAAGUCUAGUAGAAGGUAUUCGUUUAUAAUUAUACAGAGAUUUUUGGUGGAGUGUUGGAUGUUAAUAAGAUGCCAUUGAGUGUGGUAGAUGGUUAGAUAAUGCCAUUCUCGAUUGUUUAGGGCCUACAAGCAUAACCUCAGUUUUAUCUGAGUUAGGGAGCAGGAAGUUGUUAGUCAUCCAUGCUUAACAUCUUGCAAGCAAGCUUCCAUCUUGGGUAGCUGUACAAUUUCCUCAGAGUUCAUGGAUAGGUAGUCGGGCUAGCUAACCUGCAUAACAUUACUUAACUGUCGAUACGGUCGUCUGCUUGUUGUCAUUAGGUGAACGCUCUAAACUCGGAAGUAGGACCUUCCGGAAUGGGAACUUUCUCCAAUUCCCAGUUGCCCGAAUGCACACUGAGCAUGCACGUCUAAUUUCUCAUGUACAUCUGUCCUUUUGUUGAUGACACAACGAAAGGAAGGGAGAAUUAAGAGGGUGUCUUUAACUAUUAAUCUUUAACUUGCAUGUGGCAUCAGGAAGUACAUGCCACUGGCAGGAGGCGGGACAUGCACUUCAUGUACUCAGAGGUGUAAAGUAACGAAUUACUUUUACUCACGUUACUGUAAUUGAGUAGUUUUUUUGUGUACUUUGUAAUUUUUAAGUAGUUUUUGAAAUCGGUAAUUUUACUUUUACUUAAGUAGAUUUUGACUGAAGUAUUGUACUUCGCUACAUUGGACAUUACAUCCGUUACUGAGUAAAAAAAAAAACAUAGUUCAAGGCGGGAAUCGCGCACCACAAUUCUCACUGCAAUGGUGGAUGCUGCAUAGAGUAAAUGAUGGAGUCAUGCAAGGAGCCGGUACGGUGCCGAGUCACGAGAGAUAGAUAUGGAGGAAGAUGAUAGUGCGGACUACCAACAAGCUGAAGCACCGAACUUUCCGCCAGUUGAAAUUAAAGAAGAUGAAGAAAACCCGUGGCCAUAUCUCAGCAAGCAGUUUGCCUUCCAACGUAAAAGAGGCAACAGCUAUAUGCUGUGUAAACUGUGCCUAAUCCGCCAGUCAGAACUUUCUGCUUAUACAAAUUCAUCUUCAAAUCUGCGCAAGCAUGUGUUGGUAAGUACAGUAUUUGUCCCUUUCCAUUAGUAGUUCAGACAGCGUUUUUGUCAUUUAGUUAGCUUUGCUCCAUUAAGCAAAAUAUGCGUUUCAUGGCACUAGUAGGUAGUAGCCUAAUUUUGGCUAGCACUUGCAACCGACCUGAGUAUGCUAACGUCGACAGCGGUCAUCCAAUAGACUAAUAAUACCAUUCCUGUCUUCCAUUCGUUUC
Molecule: long non-coding RNA, 3044 nt
Organism: Clupea harengus (Atlantic herring)
Lineage: Eukaryota; Metazoa; Chordata; Actinopteri; Clupeiformes; Clupeidae
Source: Ensembl